Molecule: ribosomal RNA, 272 nt
Filed under: uncultured Pseudomonas sp.
Lineage: Bacteria; Pseudomonadati; Pseudomonadota; Gammaproteobacteria; Pseudomonadales; Pseudomonadaceae
Description: partial 16S ribosomal RNA
Rfam family: Bacterial small subunit ribosomal RNA
Source: RNAcentral
AGUUACCAGCACGUUAUGGUGGGCGACUCUAAGGAGAACUGCCGGUGACAAACCGGAGGAAGGUGGGGAUGACGUCAAGUCAUCAUGGCCCUUACGGCCUGGGCUACACACGUGCUACAAUGGUCGGUACAAAGGGUUGCCAAGCCGCGAGGUGGAGCUAAUCCCAUAAAACCGAUCGUAGUCCGGAUCGCAGUCUGCAACUCGACUGCGUGAAGUCGGAAUCGCUAGUAAUCGUGAAUCAGAAUGUCACGGUGAAUACGUUCCCGGGCCUU